AUUUACAUUUGAGUGAGUGGCGAACUGGUGAGUAACACGUGGGAAACCUGCCCAGAAGCGGGGGAUAACACCUGGAAACAGAUGCUAAUACCGCAUAACAACUUGGACCGCAUGGUCCGAGCUUGAAAGAUGGCUUCGGCUAUCACUUUUGGAUGGUCCCGCGGCGUAUUAGCUAGAUGGUGGGGUAACGGCUCACCAUGGCAAUGAUACGUAGCCGACCUGAGAGGGUAAUCGGCCACAUUGGGACUGAGACACGGCCCAAACUCCUACGGGAGGCAGCAGUAGGGAAUCUUCCACAAUGGACGAAAGUCUGAUGGAGCAACGCCGCGUGAGUGAAGAAGGGUUUCGGCUUGUAAAACUCUGUUGUUAAAGAAGAACAUAUCUGAGAGUAACUGUUCAGGUAUUGACGGUAUUUAACCAGAAAGCCACGGCUAACUACGUGCCAGCAGCCGCGGUAAUACGUAGGUGGCAAGCGUUGUCCGGAUUUAUUGGGCGUAAAGCGAGCGCAGGCGGUUUUUUAAGUCCGAUGUGAAAGCCUUCGGCUCAACCGAAGAAGUGCAUCGGAAACUGGGAAACUUGAGUGCAGAAGAGGACAGUGGAACUCCAUGUGUAGCGGUGAAAUGCGUAGAUAUAUGGAAGAACACCAGUGGCGAAGGCGGCUGUCUGGUCUGUAACUGACGCUGAGGCUCGAAAAGUAUGGGUAGCAAACAGGAUUAGAUACCCUGGUAGUCCAUACCGUAAAACGAUGAAUGCUAA
This 756-nucleotide ribosomal RNA is filed under the name uncultured bacterium. Its description in RNAcentral is "bacterial SSU rRNA". It matches the Rfam family "Bacterial small subunit ribosomal RNA", at positions 79 to 819 of the family's 1533-position model. The record is from RNAcentral.